GUCUAUGGUCAUACUACCCUGAACAUGCCCAAUGUCAUCUGAUCUCAGAAGCUAAGCAGGGUCGGCCUGGUUAGUACUUGGAUGGGAGAAUGCUAGGACAUUUGUCU
RNAcentral lists this ribosomal RNA (107 nucleotides) under Castor canadensis (American beaver). The record is from RNAcentral. Lineage: Eukaryota; Metazoa; Chordata; Mammalia; Rodentia; Castoridae.